Molecule: small RNA, 136 nt
Filed under: Aeromonas hydrophila
Lineage: Bacteria; Pseudomonadati; Pseudomonadota; Gammaproteobacteria; Aeromonadales; Aeromonadaceae
Also listed under: 2 other names
Description: RtT sRNA
Rfam family: RtT RNA
About the family: This family represents a bacterial cis-regulatory element known as RtT RNA.
Source: RNAcentral
CCGUUCAUGUCGAAGAGAGGGGUGAGAACCGUCACCGGGUUCGAGCAGAGCAGCUUGCUGCGAUGAAGAUGAAGGAUCGCAGGCCGCCCCGAAGGGGUGAGCCACGCAGUGGCGAAUGAUCCUUCCCUCAUCGCCA